UACGUAGGGUGCAAGCGUUGUUCGGAAUUACUGGGCGUAAAGGGCGCGUAGGCGGGUUUGAAAGUCGAUUGUGAAAUCCCUAGGCUCAACCUGGGAAUUGCAGUCGAAACUUCAAGUCUUGAAUGCUUGAGAGGGUGGUGGAAUUCCAGGUGUAGAAGUGAAAUUCGUAGAUAUCUGGAGGAACACCGGAGGCGAAGGCGGCCACCUGGCAAGACAUUGACGCUAAAGCGCGAAAGCGUGGGGAUCAAACAGGAUUAGAUACCCUGGUAGUCCACGCCAUAAACGAUGGAUACUAGAUGUUCGGAGAGUUAACCCUCUGAGUAUCACAGCUAACGCAGUAAGUAUCCCGCCUGGGGAGUACGGUCGCAAGACUAAA
Molecule: ribosomal RNA, 376 nt
Filed under: uncultured bacterium
Lineage: Bacteria
Description: bacterial SSU rRNA
Rfam family: Bacterial small subunit ribosomal RNA
Source: RNAcentral